MicroRNA precursor from Gorilla gorilla gorilla (western lowland gorilla), 86 nucleotides. Lineage: Eukaryota; Metazoa; Chordata; Mammalia; Primates; Hominidae. The record is from Ensembl.
UCUAUUAGGUUGGUGCAAAAGUAAUUGCGAUUUUUGCUCUUACUUUCAGUGACAAAAAUCGCAAUUACUUUUGCGCCAACCUAAUA